AGGGUUGUAGCUCAGUGGCAGAACAUCUGCUUUGAAUGCAGACGGUCCCAGGUUCAAAUCUUGGUGUCUCCA
Podarcis lilfordi (Lilford's wall lizard) is the source of this 72-nucleotide non-coding RNA. NCBI's taxonomy places the organism in Eukaryota, Metazoa, Chordata, Lepidosauria, Squamata, Lacertidae. The record is from the annotation of a GenBank genome assembly.